AUUGAACGCUGGCGGCAGGCCUAACACAUGCAAGUCGAGCGGCAGCGGGAAGUAGCUUGCUACUUUGCCGGCGAGCGGCGGACGGGUGAGUAAUGUCUGGGAAACUGCCCGAUGGAGGGGGAUAACUACUGGAAACGGUAGCUAAUACCGCAUAACGUCGCAAGACCAAAGAGGGGGACCUUCGGGCCUCUUGCCAUCGGAUGUGCCCAGAUGGGAUUAGCUAGUAGGUGGGGUAACGGCUCACCUAGGCGACGAUCCCUAGCUGGUCUGAGGGGAUGACCAGCCACACUGGAACUGAGCCACGGUCCAGACUCCUACGGGAGGCAGCAGUGGGGAAUAUUGCACAAUGGGCGCAAGCCUGAUGCAGCCAUGCCGCGUGUAUGAAGAAGGCCUUCGGGUUGUAAAGUACUUUCAGCGGGGAGGAAGGUGUUGAGGUUAAUAACCUCAGCAAUUGACGUUACCCGCAGAAGAAGCACCGGCUAACUCCGUGCCAGCAGCCGCAGUAA
This 506-nucleotide ribosomal RNA is filed under the name uncultured bacterium. RNAcentral describes it as "partial 16S ribosomal RNA". It matches the Rfam family "Bacterial small subunit ribosomal RNA", at positions 30 to 523 of the family's 1533-position model. The record is from RNAcentral.